RNAcentral lists this long non-coding RNA (367 nucleotides) under Mytilus galloprovincialis (Mediterranean mussel). Lineage: Eukaryota; Metazoa; Mollusca; Bivalvia; Mytilida; Mytilidae. The record is from RNAcentral.
CAGUCAGAGCUCAGACAUAAAUAGGUCUGAAUCUGCUUUUGACUCAUAGAGGUCUAAAUUUGUAAGUUUUAGGAUUUGUCUCCCUUAAUGCAAGACAAAAUACGACUUUAAUAAGUCAAAUAUUGUUAAGCAAGAAAUAAUUGACCAGAAUCAAAAAGUUGCAAAUAUCGACUCCUACAAGUCGAUAAGUUACCAAAAUUGGUAAACUUCAAGACCCACGCAUAUUUAUAAAAAGGUCACGCAUCUAAAUCAAAUAAUGACAACAUUGAAAAACAAUGCUUUGUCUUCUAGAGAAAAAUAUGAAUGAGAGUCUAAAAAAUCGGAGAUAAUGUAAAUUAACCUUACAAUGCAACCACCUGGAGCCACA